This 425-nucleotide ribosomal RNA is filed under the name uncultured bacterium. RNAcentral's name for it is "partial 16S ribosomal RNA". It matches the Rfam family "Bacterial small subunit ribosomal RNA", at positions 368 to 795 of the family's 1533-position model. The record is from RNAcentral.
CCUACGGGAUGCUGAACCAGCCAAGUCGCGUGAGGGAAGACGGCCCUACGGGUUGUAAACCUCUUUUGUCGGGGAGCAAAGAGAGUCACGUGUGACUCAUUGAGAGUACCCGAAGAAAAAGCAUCGGCUAACUCCGUGCCAGCAGCCGCGGUAAUACGGAGGAUGCGAGCGUUAUCCGGAUUUAUUGGGUUUAAAGGGUGCGCAGGCGGAGGUGCAAGUCAGCGGUCAAAUUGCGGGGCUCAACCCCGUACUGCCGUUGAAACUGCCUCCCGUGAGUGCGCGAGAGGUAGGCGGAAUGCGUGGUGUAGCGGUGAAAUGCAUAGAUAUCACGCAGAACUCCGAUUGCGAAGGCAGCAUACCGGCGCGCAACUGACGCUCAGGCACGAAAGCGUGGGUAUCGAACAGGAUUAGAUACCCUGGUAGUC